CACAUAGCUUUUUUUAAAGCUACUCAACAAUCAGAUAUAUAUUUUAG
Molecule: non-coding RNA, 47 nt
Organism: Mus musculus (house mouse)
Lineage: Eukaryota; Metazoa; Chordata; Mammalia; Rodentia; Muridae
Source: Rfam